This 169-nucleotide ribosomal RNA is filed under the name Nyctereutes procyonoides (raccoon dog). RNAcentral's name for it is "partial 12S rRNA". Lineage: Eukaryota; Metazoa; Chordata; Mammalia; Carnivora; Canidae. The record is from RNAcentral.
CACCGCGGUCAUACGAUUAACCCAAACUAAUAGGCCCACGGCGUAAAGCGUGUUUAAGAUAUCAACUAACUAAAGUUAAAACUUAACUAAGCUGUAAAAAGCUCCAGUUACCAUAAAAUAAACUACGAAAGUGACUUUAAAAUACUCUGACUACACGAUAGCUAAGAUC